GACGAACGCUAGCGGCGUGCUUAACACAUGCAAGUCGAGCGGAAAGGCCCUGCUUUUGUGGGGUGCUCGAGUGGCGAACGGGUGAGUAACACGUGAGUAACCUCCCCUUGACUUUGGGAUAACUUCAGGAAACUGGGGCUCCUACCAGCUAGUAGCUCCUGCUUCAUUGUGUGGGUUGGAUAGUUUCGGCGGUUGUGGAUGUACUCGCGGCUAAUCAGCUUGUUGGUCGGGGAGUGGCUUACCAGGGCUUUCUUGGGUAGCCGGCCUGAGAGGGUGACCGGCAACAUUGGGACUGAGAUACGGGCCAGACUCCUACGGGAUGCAGCAGUGGGGAUUAUUGCACGAUGGGGGGAAGCCUGAUGCAGCAACGCCGCGUGCGGGAUGACGGCCUUCGGGUUGUAAACCGCUUUCGCCUGUGACGAAGCGUGAGUGACGGUAAUGGAUAAAGAAGCACCGGCUAACUACGUG
Molecule: ribosomal RNA, 468 nt
Filed under: uncultured bacterium
Lineage: Bacteria
Description: partial 16S ribosomal RNA
Rfam family: Bacterial small subunit ribosomal RNA
Source: RNAcentral